Molecule: small RNA, 36 nt
Filed under: Haliscomenobacter hydrossis DSM 1100
Lineage: Bacteria; Pseudomonadati; Bacteroidota; Saprospiria; Saprospirales; Haliscomenobacteraceae
Description: abiF RNA
Rfam family: abiF RNA
Source: Rfam by way of RNAcentral
CCCUCCAUGCCUCUCGACGAAGCACACUUGGAGGGU